UACGUAGGGAGCAAGCGUUAUCCGGAAUUAUUGGGUGUAAAGGGUGCGUAGACGGGAUAACAAGUUGGUUGUGAAACCCCUCGGCUCAACUGAGGAACUGCAACCAAAACUAUUAUUCUUGAGUGCAGGAGAGGAAAGUGGAAUUCCUAGUGUAGCGGUGAAAUGCGUAGAUAUUAGGAAGAACACCGGUGGCGAAGGCGACUUUCUGGUCUGUAACUGACGUUGAGGCACGAAAGUGUGGGGAGCAAACAGG
This 253-nucleotide ribosomal RNA is filed under the name uncultured bacterium. Its description in RNAcentral is "partial 16S ribosomal RNA". It matches the Rfam family "Bacterial small subunit ribosomal RNA", at positions 524 to 776 of the family's 1533-position model. The record is from RNAcentral.